Molecule: small RNA, 225 nt
Filed under: Arabidopsis thaliana (thale cress)
Lineage: Eukaryota; Viridiplantae; Streptophyta; Magnoliopsida; Brassicales; Brassicaceae
Description: ATSL015550
Source: RNAcentral
UAUAAUUUUGGUAACCCAGGCAAAGAUUGGUCCAAAAUAAGCAUUUUUCUUUGACUUUUGAAAUAUGGGAUCUACAAAGACACAACACAGAAUCUGCAAAUAUGGAGACCAACCAAAAAUCCAAAUUUGCCAGAUUCUGCCAAGUCAACAACAAAAUUAUAGAAUAUUGUCGGUUUUAGAAAAUUAUAAUGGAUAGAUUACAGGGGAAGGAAAAAAAUCUUAAGA